This 440-nucleotide ribosomal RNA is filed under the name uncultured bacterium. RNAcentral describes it as "partial 16S ribosomal RNA". It matches the Rfam family "Bacterial small subunit ribosomal RNA", at positions 338 to 795 of the family's 1533-position model. The record is from RNAcentral.
CCUACGGGAGGCAGCAGUGGGGAAUAUUGCACAAUGGGGGAAACCCUGAUGCAGCGACGCCGCGUGAGUGAAGAAGUAAUUCGUUAUGUAAAGCUCUAUCAGCAGGGAAGAAAAUGACGGUACCUGAGUCAGAAGCCCCGGCUAACUACGUGCCAGCAGCCGCGGUAAUACGGAGGGGGCAAGCGUUAUCCGGAUUUACUGGGUGUAAAGGGAGCGUAGACGGCAGUGCAAGUCAGGAGUGAAAGGCGGGGGCUCAACCCCCGGACUGCUCUGGAAACUGUACGGCUGGAGUGCAGGAGAGGUAGGUGGAAUGCCUAGUGUAGCGGUGAAAUGCGUAGAGAUUAGGAGGAACACCAGUGGCGAAGGCAGCUUACUGGACUGUGACUGACGUUGAGGCACGAAAGCGUGGGGAGCAAACAGGAUUAGAUACCCUUGUAGUC